Molecule: ribosomal RNA, 1353 nt
Filed under: metagenome
Description: bacterial SSU rRNA
Rfam family: Bacterial small subunit ribosomal RNA
Source: RNAcentral
GUGGCGAACGGGUGAGUAAUGUAUCGGAACGUACCUUUCAGUGGGGGAUAACGUAGCGAAAGUUACGCUAAUACCGCAUAUUCUGUGAGCAGGAAAGCAGGGGAUCGCAAGACCUUGCGCUGAUUGAGCGGCCGAUAUCAGAUUAGCUAGUUGGUGAGGUAAAGGCUCACCAAGGCGACGAUCUGUAGCGGGUCUGAGAGGAUGAUCCGCCACACUGGAACUGAGACACGGUCCAGACUCCUACGGGAGGCAGCAGUGGGGAAUUUUGGACAAUGGGGGCAACCCUGAUCCAGCCAUGCCGCGUGAGUGAAGAAGGCCUUCGGGUCGUAGAGCUCUUUCGGCCGGGAAGAAAUCGUAUGGGUUAAUACCCUGUGCGGAUGACGGUACCGGCAUAAGGAGCACCGGCUAACUACGUGCCAGCAGCCGCGGUAAUACGUAGGGUGCGAGCGUUAAUCGGAAUUACUGGGCGUAAAGCGUGCGCAGGCGGUUUUGUAAGACAGGCGUGAAAUCCCCGGGCUCAACCUGGGAACUGCGCUUGUGACUGCAAGGCUAGAGUACGGCAGAGGGGGGUGGAAUUCCACGUGUAGCAGUGAAAUGCGUAGAGAUGUGGAGGAACACCAAUGGCGAAGGCAGCCCCCUGGGUCGAUACUGACGCUCAUGCACGAAAGCGUGGGUAGCAAACAGGAUUAGAUACCCUGGUAGUCCACGCCCUAAACGAUGUCAACUAGGUGUUGGGUGGGUAAAACCAUUUAGUACCGGAGCUAACGCGUGAAGUUGACCGCCUGGGGAGUACGGCCGCAAGGUUAAAACUCAAAGGAAUUGACGGGGACCCGCACAAGCGGUGGAUGAUGUGGAUUAAUUCGAUGCAACGCGAAAAACCUUACCUACCCUUGACAUGUCCAGGAGCCUGAAGAGAUUUGGGUGUGCCCGAAAGGGAACUGGAACACAGGUGCUGCAUGGCUGUCGUCAGCUCGUGUCGUGAGAUGUUGGGUUAAGUCCCGCAACGAGCGCAACCCUUGUCGUUAAUUGCCAUCAUUAGUUGGGCACUUUAACGAGACUGCCGGUGACAAACCGGAGGAAGGUGGGGAUGACGUCAAGUCCUCAUGGCCCUUAUGGGUAGGGCUUCACACGUCAUACAAUGGUCGGUACAAAGGGUCGCCAACCCGCGAGGGGGAGCCAAUCCCAGAAAGCCGAUCGUAGUCCGGAUCGUAGGCUGCAACUCGCCUGCGUGAAGUCGGAAUCGCUAGUAAUCGUGGAUCAGCAUGUCACGGUGAAUACGUUCCCGGGUCUUGUACACACCGCCCGUCACACCAUGGGAGCGGGUUCCGCCAGAAGUAGGUAGCCUAACCGCAA